UCAGCUUGAACCGCAAGGUGAAGGUGUAUUUGCUGUUGGCGGCGCUAGGAGGAGUGGACCUUGCUGUGGAUACUUGGCCAGAGGACUGCUCCGGCAGAAACUUGGCCUUGGGCAAAUGGUUUUGGUCUACUCUCGGAGUGUCAGCCUUUAGGAUGGCGGCUGUCUUGUGACUCUCGGUUGGCGGCUGUGAGUUGGUGGAGCUUGCUCCCCUUCUUUGGUUGCUGGCCCAGAUAGCUUGAUUGUCGUGGCACUGUCCUAGUGAAAAAGUCGGUCACCUACCUGACCCGUCUUGAAACACGGACCAAGGAGUCUAACAUGUGCGCAAGUUAAAAGGUGGUAAACCUAUAGAGCGCAAUGAAAGUAAAGGUCAGUUUAACUGGCUUAUAUGGGAUCCCUUGCUUCGGCAACAGGGGCACCAUAGUCCCGUCGCGUCUGCAUGUCAGUGCGGCGGAGACAGAGCGUACACGUUGGGACCCGAAAGAUGGUGAACUAUGCCUGAGCAGGAUGAAGCCAGGGGAAACUCUGGUGGAGGUCCGAAGCGGUUCUGACGUGCAAAUCGAUCGUCAGACUUGGGUAUAGGGGCGAAAGACUAAUCGAAC
Molecule: ribosomal RNA, 599 nt
Filed under: Odontophora variabilis
Lineage: Eukaryota; Metazoa; Nematoda; Chromadorea; Araeolaimida; Axonolaimidae
Description: eukaryotic LSU rRNA
Rfam family: Eukaryotic large subunit ribosomal RNA
Source: RNAcentral